CAUCCGCAUCCUUUGCUGAGGAUACGGUUAACGGAGCGAAAGCGACGUUCAACCGCAAAACAAGCAGAGGGGGCUUAGUGGUGGGGUGACUGCGUACCUUUUGUAUAAUGGGUCAGCGACUUAUAUUCUGUAGCAAGGUUAACCGAAUAGGGGAGCCGGAGGGAAACCGAGUCUUAAUUGGGCGUUAAGUUGCAGGGUAUAGACCCGAAACCCGGUGAUCUAGCCAUGGGCAGGUUGAAGGUUGGGUAACACUAACUGGAGGACCGAACCGACUAAUGUUGAAAAAUUAGCGGAUGACCUGUGGCUGGGGGUGAAAGGCCAAUCAAACCGGGAGAUAGCUGGUUCUCCCCGAAAGCUAUUUAGGUAGCGCCUCGUGAAUUCAUCUCCGGGGGUAGAGCACUGUUUCGGCUAGGGGGCCAUCCCGGCUUACCAACCCGAUGCAAACUGCGAAUACCGGAGAAUGUUAUCACGGGAGACACACGGCGGGUGCUAACGUCCGUCGUGAAGAGGGAAACAACCCAGACCGCCAGCUAAGGUCCCAAAGUCAUGGUUAAGUGGGAAACGAUGUGGGAAGGCCCAGACAGCCAGGAUGUUGGCUUAGAAGCAGCCAUCAUUUAAAGAAAGCGUAAUAGCUCACUGGUCGAGUCGGCCUGCGCGGAAGAUGUAACGGGGCUAAACCAUGCACCGAAGCUGCGGCAGCGAACGUAUCACCCAAGACAACUUUACGGAGUUGACGAUUGACGGAGCGAAGCGACGUCAAAGCGUUCAUUAAAGUCGAGUUGGCUUAGGGAUACGUUCGUUGGGUAGGGGAGCGUUCUGUAAGCCUGUGAAGGUGUGUCGUGAGGCAUGCUGGAGGUAUCAGAAGUGCGAAUGCUGACAUAAGUAACGAUAAAGCGGGUGAAAAGCCCGCUCGCCGGAAGACCAAGGGUUCCUGUCCAACGUUAAUCGGGGCAGGGUGAGUCGACCCCUAAGGCGAGGCCGAAAGGCGUAGUCGAUGGGAAACGGGUUAAUAUUCCCGUACUUGGUGUUACUGCGAAGGGGGGACGGAGAAGGCUAUGUUGGCCGGGCGACGGUUGUCCCGGUUUAAGCGUGUAGGUGUGUGUUCCAGGUAAAUCCGGUUCACUUUAACACUGAGGCGUGACGACGAGGCACUACGGUGCUGAAGCAACAAAUGCCCUGCUUCCAGGAAAAGCCUCUAAGCAUCAGGUAACACGAAAUCGUACCCCAAACCGACACAGGUGGUCAGGUAGAGAAUACCAAGGCGCUUGAGAGAACUCGGGUGAAGGAACUAGGCAAAAUGGUGCCGUAACUUCGGGAGAAGGCACGCUGACACGUAGGUGAAGUGAUUUACUCAUGGAGCUGAAGUCAGUCGAAGAUACCAGCUGGCUGCAACUGUUUAUUAAAAACACAGCACUGUGCAAACACGAAAGUGGACGUAUACGGUGUGACGCCUGCCCGGUGCCGGAAGGUUAAUUGAUGGGGUCAGCGUAAGCGAAGCUCCUGAUCGAAGCCCCGGUAAACGGCGGCCGUAACUAUAACGGUCCUAAGGUAGCGAAAUUCCUUGUCGGGUAAGUUCCGACCUGCACGAAUGGCGUAAUGAUGGCCAGGCUGUCUCCACCCGAGACUCAGUGAAAUUGAACUCGCUGUGAAGAUGCAGUGUACCCGCGGCAAGACGGAAAGACCCCGUGAACCUUUACUAUAGCUUGACACUGAACAUUGAGCCUUGAUGUGUAGGAUAGGUGGGAGGCUUUGAAGUGUGGACGCCAGUCUGCAUGGAGCCGACCUUGAAAUACCACCCUUUAAUGUUUGAUGUUCUAACGUGGACCCGUAAUCCGGGUUGCGGACAGUGUCUGGUGGGUAGUUUGACUGGGGCGGUCUCCUCCUAAAGAGUAACGGAGGAGCACGAAGGUUGGCUAAUCCUGGUCGGACAUCAGGAGGUUAGUGCAAUGGCAUAAGCCAGCUUGACUGCGAGCGUGACGGCGCGAGCAGGUGCGAAAGCAGGUCAUAGUGAUCCGGUGGUUCUGAAUGGAAGGGCCAUCGCUCAACGGAUAAAAGGUACUCCGGGGAUAACAGGCUGAUACCGCCCAAGAGUUCAUAUCGACGGCGGUGUUUGGCACCUCGAUGUCGGCUCAUCACAUCCUGGGGCUGAAGUAGGUCCCAAGGGUAUGGCUGUUCGCCAUUUAAAGUGGUACGCGAGCUGGGUUUAGAACGUCGUGAGACAGUUCGGUCCCUAUCUGCCGUGGGCGCUGGAGAACUGAGGGGGGCUGCUCCUAGUACGAGAGGACCGGAGUGGACGCAUCACUGGUGUUCGGGUUGUCAUGCCAAUGGCACUGCCCGGUAGCUAAAUGCGGAAGAGAUAAGUGCUGAAAGCAUCUAAGCACGAAACUUGCCCCGAGAUGAGUUCUCCCUGAGACUUAGAGUCUCCUGAAGGAACGUUGAAGACGACGACGUUGAUAGGCCGGGUGUGUAAGCGCAGCGAUGCGUUGAGCUAACCGGUACUAAUGAACCGUGAGGCUUAACCUUACAAC
This 2528-nucleotide ribosomal RNA is filed under the name Salmonella enterica subsp. enterica. RNAcentral describes it as "partial 23S ribosomal RNA". It matches the Rfam family "Bacterial large subunit ribosomal RNA". Lineage: Bacteria; Pseudomonadati; Pseudomonadota; Gammaproteobacteria; Enterobacterales; Enterobacteriaceae. The record is from RNAcentral.